CGGUGCUGCGCUCGCUCUGCUGGGCCCUGCCGCCGCCCGCAGAGGGCAGAGAGCGCUGCCCGUGCCCGGGCGCGCAGCUCCCUCCUAGUGCCGCUCGCUGCGCGGUCCCUGCUGGCAUUGCAGUCUCCUGGCAUCGGCGCUUGGGAGCUCAGUGUCUUGCCGAAAGGUGGAGCCCUUCCCCAGCUGGCGUGAGUGAGUAGCCUGCUCCUGCCCUGGUGCCACCUGCAUGCCGCACCCAAGUGGAUCCGAGCGCGAGGUGGCCACAUCCGAAGAGCCUCUCUGCCUUCCCCUCGUGUGGUGGUUCCCAGCACGUGGGCAGAUCAUCUGGGGAGAAAAUCAAGUCAUGUAGUAUGAGGAAACAUGAGAACCUGAGAACUACAGAGAGGAAUGAAGAGCAGAGCUGCUGAGAUCCAGUCCUGCUCCUUUUCUGCACUACCAGACCAGGAAGAAAAAGCACAGAGGCAGAUGGACAGCCAGAACAAGAACUGUCCUCGCAGCAGGCUGCUGUGUUACAGAAGCCUGUCUGGGCAGGCAGAUGAAGACAUGUGGCUCUCUUCUCUUACGCUUAGCUCACUCCAACUCUCACCUUCAAGGUACAGUAUUUUAUGGCUUGUAAUUUGUAGUGGCUCUGUGAUUUCUCAGAUUAGCUACCUUUU
This is a long non-coding RNA of Pogoniulus pusillus (Red-fronted tinkerbird), 656 nucleotides long. RefSeq lists it as uncharacterized. The record is from RefSeq and is a predicted model, not a curated record. NCBI's taxonomy places the organism in Eukaryota, Metazoa, Chordata, Aves, Piciformes, Lybiidae. The transcript is spliced from 3 exons.